CAGUCGCCGCGGGAAUACGUAGGUGGCAAGCGUUGUCCGGAAUUACUGGGCGUAAAGCGUGCGCAGGCGGUUCGUUAAGACAGAUGUGAAAUUCCCGGGCUUAACCUGGGAACUGCAUUUGUGACUGGCGAGCUAGAGUAUGGCAGAGGGGGGUAGAAUUCCACGUGUAGCAGUGAAAUGCGUAGAGAUGUGGAGGAAUACCGAUGGCGAAGGCAGCCCCCUGGGCCAAUACUGACGCUCAUGCACGAAAGCGUGGGGAGCAAACAGGAUUAGAUACCCCUGUAGUCCCUGUCUCUUAUAC
Molecule: ribosomal RNA, 301 nt
Filed under: uncultured bacterium
Lineage: Bacteria
Description: partial 16S ribosomal RNA
Rfam family: Bacterial small subunit ribosomal RNA
Source: RNAcentral